Molecule: ribosomal RNA, 1346 nt
Filed under: uncultured bacterium
Lineage: Bacteria
Description: bacterial SSU rRNA
Rfam family: Bacterial small subunit ribosomal RNA
Source: RNAcentral
GACGAACGCUGGCGGCGUGCUUAACACAUGCAAGUCGAACGGAAAGGCCCUGCUUUUGUGGGGUGCUCGAGUGGCGAACGGGUGAGUAACACGUGAGUAACCUGCCCUUGACUUUGGGAUAACUUCAGGAAACUGGGGCUAAUACCGGAUAGGAGCUCCUGCUGCAUGGUGGGGGUUGGAAAGUUUCGGCGGUUGGGGAUGGACUCGCGGCUUAUCAGCUUGUUGGUGGGGUAGUGGCUUACCAAGGCUUUGACGGGUAGCCGGCCUGAGAGGGUGACCGGCCACAUUGGGACUGAGAUACGGCCCAGACUCCUACGGGAGGCAGCAGUGGGGAAUAUUGCACAAUGGGCGGAAGCCUGAUGCAGCAACGCCGCGUGCGGGAUGACGGCCUUCGGGUUGUAAACUGCUUUCGCCUGUGACGAAGCGUGAGUGACGGUAAUGGGUAAAGAAGCACCGGCUAACUACGUGCCAGCAGCCGCGGUGAUACGUAGGGUGCGAGCGUUGUCCGGAUUUAUUGGGCGUAAAGGGCUCGUAGGUGGUUGAUCGCGUCGGAAGUGUAAUCUUGGGGCUUAACCCUGAGCGUGCUUUCGAUACGGGUUGACUUGAGGAAGGUAGGGGAGAAUGGAAUUCCUGGUGGAGCGGUGGAAUGCGCAGAUAUCAGGAGGAACACCAGUGGCGAAGGCGGUUCUCUGGGCCUUUCCUGACGCUGAGGAGCGAAAGCGUGGGGAGCGAACAGGCUUAGAUACCCUGGUAGUCCACGCUGUAAACGGUGGGUACUAGGUGUGGGGUCCAUUCCACGGGUUCCGUGCCGUAGCUAACGCUUUAAGUACCCCGCCUGGGGAGUACGGCCGCAAGGCUAAAACUCAAAGGAAUCGACGGGGCCCCGCACAAGCGGCGGAGCAUGCGGAUUAAUUCGAUGCAACGCGUAGAACCUUACCUGGGUUUGACAUGGAUCGGGAGCGCUCAGAGAUGGGUGUGCCUCUUUUGGGGUCGGUUCACAGGUGGUGCAUGGCUGUCGUCAGCUCGUGUCGUGAGAUGUUGGGUUAAGUCCCGCAACGAGCGCAACCCUUGUUCACUGUUGCCAGCACGUUAUGGUGGGGACUCAGUGGAGACCGCCGGGGUCAACUCGGAGGAAGGUGGGGAUGACGUCAAGUCAUCAUGCCCCUUAUGUCCAGGGCUUCACGCAUGCUACAAUGGCUGGUACAGAGAGUGGCGAGCCUGUGAGGGUGAGCGAAUCUCGGAAAGCCGGUCUCAGUUCGGAUUGGGGUCUGCAACUCGACCUCAUGAAGUCGGAGUCGCUAGUAAUCGCAGAUCAGCAACGCUGCGGUGAAUACGUUCCCGGGGCU